RNAcentral lists this ribosomal RNA (825 nucleotides) under Triticum aestivum (bread wheat). Its description in RNAcentral is "partial small subunit ribosomal RNA". The record is from RNAcentral. Lineage: Eukaryota; Viridiplantae; Streptophyta; Magnoliopsida; Poales; Poaceae.
AUGGUCCCUCAAACAGACACGCCGCCACACCUGCCGACCCCUGCGCAGCACACCCACCCCUACGCUCGGCCACCGCGGUGGCGACGGCCCAGCUCCAGCGCGCCGGCGACCGCGGCGGAGGCCCCGGAGGCGGUCGUCGGGGCGGGCGGCGCGAGGUGGGAGCCGAUGGGCGCGCGGGAGUACUACGACUACCGGCGGGCCAUCUACGGCGACAUCACGCACAAGGCCAUCCUUGUGGACGCCGCCAGCACCCUCCUCGCCCCCACCGAGCCCAUGGCCCAUGUCAGCCUACGCCCUUCCCCCAUAUACCGCAGCUCCAAUUCAUGUGUACAGAACAGUAGGCGAAAAUGGCGAAUGUGGGCGGGGUCGGCCGUGGAGGGAGACUUGCUGGUCGGAGCAGCAGGAGCAAGAAGAUUGAGGCGGUUCAGAUAUUUAACUGCAUUAGUGAAUGUUCUGGGUCUGAUACAGCAGCUAAGCUUAGGGCAAGACAAGAACAUUAGUUGGAUCCAGAGUAUCGAGAUUGCAGAGGACUCAACAAAGGGUCUGCACUUAUUCUAUAAAUUCAGUAUCAGGUAUGCUUCUCCGGUUGUCCCUCGCAUCAACUCUCUCAGCUCCCAAACCAUUAACCUCGUCCUGUUUGUUCCUUCCUACGGCCAGCUCGACCAUUUGCUCCGCAGGGAGUUUUUUAGCUCGGAAGGAGCAAAUAAUUUGAGAAUGCAUUGGUCUUUUCUGCAAUCUGUUGUACAGGAGGAUCUUUCAUGUUUCUCUGCAGGCCCCACUUGCAGUGCAGGGACAUACUGCCAUGAAGAGUGUGCGUCUCAAUGA